Gasterosteus aculeatus aculeatus (three-spined stickleback) is the source of this 1096-nucleotide long non-coding RNA. Lineage: Eukaryota; Metazoa; Chordata; Actinopteri; Perciformes; Gasterosteidae. The record is from Ensembl.
CUUAAUGCAACAAAUUAAACCAUUAGAGAAGGAAAUCAAAAGUACAAUACUCAGCAUUUUGUGUCCCCAAGCAUCCAUGUGCCUUAUCAGAACCCAGGCUUGUGUUAAAUAUAUAACGUGUACUUGUAUAUUUUAAUAUUAGGUAUGAGGUCUGCACAGAGGGAAUCAGGCUACAAAUCAUAACUUUAUUAGUUUUCCUUUUUUACGUAUAUCAAUAACAGGCCACUGUGGAAACGUAGACAUCAUACAGUCAAGUCUUGUGUGGCCCAGUCAAAAGGCUUAAAGCAACAGCUUACAUGCUUUGGCAGGAAAAAAACAAAAACCCUUCUUGCAGUAACAAUGGUUUCAAUUUUAAUAAUUACACGCAAAGAAAAUUGUACAUCGUGUGCUUGGUAUCCUGCCAGAUUUUCGUUACGAGAUCUACGUGGAGACCGCUUCUCCUUUUCUGCGACCAUCAAGAGAUUGACGUCUCGACAACUCUGUCUUCAGCGGCGUGAAGGUACAUAUUUUACAAACAGCAGCGAGAGCAGCGGGCGGGAAGGGGAGGUGUGGAAGACAAAGCAAAACAAAAUACCCUCAUUCAUGACCUUUUAUUGGCUCCUGGCUCUGAUCUCCUCCCGUCACUCAGCUUCACAUUGGCACAAGGUGCUCACUCACUCAGCAACACUCCUCAGCAUCAAGGUCCUUUGUUCAAGUAAAAUACCAGACAGCUUGUUCGAUUCACAGGUUAUAGCAAGCAUUAGAAUCAUCAUCAUCAUCACGAGAAACGUAAUAUUUGGAAAGAAAAAAACCCGCUAAAACAAGAUUUCAAUGAAGGCUGCUCUGAGUUCCCAAGGAAGCACGAGUUUCACUUUCUUUUGCUCAAUUGCAGCGCAAUCUGUGACAAAGCAUGAGUUUCAUGGGAACAUGGUGAGUAAAACCUUUAUUUCGGUCAUUCAGGAUGAAUAAAGACGAAGCAGAUUACAGAGAUGCGGGAUUUUCUCUACUUGGUGGGUCCGGCAGACGUCUUUGUAAGCGAAAGAAACCCGGAAUAACAAAAUAAAUACUCAAGCUAAUAAUUUAUAGUAUCAACAAACCUUCGGUAUCACAGCUUGUU